Molecule: small RNA, 18 nt
Filed under: Arabidopsis thaliana (thale cress)
Lineage: Eukaryota; Viridiplantae; Streptophyta; Magnoliopsida; Brassicales; Brassicaceae
Description: ATSL127290
Source: RNAcentral
AUAAAAACAAACAAAAAA